This 402-nucleotide ribosomal RNA is filed under the name uncultured bacterium. RNAcentral's name for it is "bacterial SSU rRNA". It matches the Rfam family "Bacterial small subunit ribosomal RNA", at positions 29 to 417 of the family's 1533-position model. The record is from RNAcentral.
AACGAACGUUAGCGGCGCGCCUAACACAUGCAAGUCGCACGAGAAAGGGGGCAACCCCCGGUACAGUGGCGCACGGGUGAGUAACACGUAGGUAAUCUGCCUCCGAGUGGUGGAUAACCUUCCGAAAGGAGGGCUAAUACAGCAUGAGACCACGACCACGAGAGUGGAUGGGGUCAAAGCCGGCCUCUAUACAUAAGCUGGCGCUUGGAGAUGAGCCUGCGGCCCAUCAGCUAGUUGGUAGGGUAAUGGCCUACCAAGGCAAAGACGGGUAGCUGGUCUGAGAGGAUGAUCAGCCACACUGGAACUGAGACACGGUCCAGACUCCUACGGAGGCAGCAGUGGGGAAUCUUGCGCAAUGGGCGAAAGCCUGACGCAGCGACGCCGCGUGGGUGACGAAGGCCU